RNAcentral lists this ribosomal RNA (253 nucleotides) under uncultured bacterium. Its description in RNAcentral is "partial 16S ribosomal RNA". It matches the Rfam family "Bacterial small subunit ribosomal RNA", at positions 524 to 776 of the family's 1533-position model. The record is from RNAcentral.
UACGUAGGUGGCAAGCGUUGUCCGGAAUCAUUGGGCGUAAAGAGCGUGUAGGCGGUUCGGUAAGUCGGCUGUGAAAGUUCAGGGCUCAACCCUGGGAUGCCGGUCGAUACUGCCGGACUAGAGUUCGGAAGAGGCGAGUGGAAUUCCCGGUGUAGCGGUGAAAUGCGCAGAUAUCGGGAGGAACACCUAUGGCGAAGGCAGCUCGCUGGGACGUUACUGACGCUGAGACGCGAAAGCGUGGGGAGCAAACAGG